This 2481-nucleotide long non-coding RNA is filed under the name Homo sapiens (human). The record is from RNAcentral. Lineage: Eukaryota; Metazoa; Chordata; Mammalia; Primates; Hominidae.
GAGAUUGCCGAGAAGACUUGCGCGCAGGGGCGGUCUCGCGUUCUUUUCGAGGUCGGCCGCGUGGCUGGAAGACAUGGCCACUCCAGUCGGUGUUGAGCACGGCGAGCAGUCUCAGGCCUUUAGUGAUGAUGGUGCAGUCAGCCUCAGUUUCCAAAGCCGGAAAAGGAUCCUCUAGUAGCCACGGUGUGGCAGCUGCUCUGAACCAGGACCUGGACCCGGACCCAAAGUGCCAUGUCUUUAAUGUUAGCUCCCAGCGAUGCCAGAUGGGAUCAGCACAGCCCUGCCUCUGCUGCUAAUUGUUCCUCUAAAGUAAUCGCCAUGCGUUCUUUGGGCUUCAUCUUUAAAGGAAUGAAGCAACUGAGAUUAUUCUGGAAAACCUUUUGGCAGUUAGUGAAAUUAGAGUACAACUAAGAACAUUUUCAGACCUCCACUGUGGAUGACCUGGGUAUAAUCUCACAAAUCGAUGGGACUGCAAGGAUUGUAAACUGAAAUGAACAUGAUUAUACUCUGUUGGAAGAGCCUAAGAGGAAACUGAUGCCAUGAGUUUCAGAGAGUAAUGCUUAACCCCAGUUACACAGGAUGCCGUCUUGUGUUUCCUCUUGUUUAGUUACCCACUACAGUGAUUUUGUGAUCUGCUAAUGGGUUGCCACCCACAACCAUUGCUUUAGCACUUUUACUUCAAAUCAAUGAAGGAUUGAUAAAAGUUCUCCUGGUGUCUCCGCAGAGUGCCUUCCAGGAACAGAUCUUUGCAUAGAAUAUCAGUGGUUUCCUUUUUUGUUUCAAAUAGUGGUCAGAAAAUACCCAGUGUUGACUCACCAAGGCAAUCAGCUUCCUUUUUCCCUUUUUUUGUUUUUUUUUUAACAUUUUAUAUUUUUGCUUUAUUUUAUUUUAUUUUAUUUUAUUUUAUUUUAUUUUAUUUUAUUUUUUGAGACGGAGUUCCACUCUGUCGCCAGGCUGGAGUGAAGUGGUACAAUCUUGGCUCACUGCAACCUCCACCUCCCGGGUUCAAGCAAUUCUCCUGGCUCAGCCUCCUGAGUGCUGGGACUACAGGCGCGUACCUUCUUUAGUAGAGACUGGGUUUCACCAUGUUGGCCAGGAUGGUCUCUAUCUCCUGACCUUGUGAUCUGCCUGCCUCAGCUUCCCAAAGUGCUGAGAUGACAGGUGUGAGCCAUCAGACCCAGCAUUUUUUUUUUUAAUUUAAAUUUAAAUUUUUUUUCAUUUUUUUGAGAGGUUUUUUUUGUUUUGUUUUGUUGUUGUUGUUGUUGUUGUUUUUGAGACAGUCUUGCUCUGUCACCCAGGCUGGGAGUGCAGUGGCAUGAUCUCUGCAACCUCUACCUCCCAGGUUCAAGCAAUUCUUGUGCCUCAGCCUCCCAAGUAACUGGGACUACAGGUGCACGCUACCACACCUGGCUGAUUUUUUUUGUUUUAGUAGAGACAGGGUUUCAACCAUGUUGCCCAGGUUGGUCUCAAACUCCUGAGCUCAGGCAAUCCACCCGCCUUGGCCUCCCAAAGUGCUAGGAUUACAGGUGUGAGCCACCACACCCAGCUAUUUUUUCUUUCGUUUUUUAAUUUUAAAGUUGGGGGGGGGUCUCAAUUUGUUACCCUGGCUGGUCUCGAACUCCCGGACUUAAGCGAUCCUCUGGCUCCAAGCCCACUACCAGUCUCAGGUUUCUUUACUAAAAGAUCACUACCUUUUUUUCUCUUAUCUGCUGCCAUGUGAGAUGUGGCUUUCACCUUCCGCCAUGAUUGUGAGGCCUUCCCAGCCAUGUAGAACUGUAAGUCCAAUAAACCUCUUUUGUAAAUUAAAAAAAAAAAAUCACUAUUUAAGAUACUAGGAUGGAUUGUGACUGUUGAGGAGUACUUACAUAUCCUACAUUUGACUACAUUAUUUCCAAACCAAGUAUUCCAUCCAAAGGAACAUACUGCUAUCAUAGAGACCAAGGAGGGACUGUUUAAGGUUGCCAAGGUGAAGCGAGCUGAGAGGCUUUGUCCUCGUGCCAGUAACUCUGAAAUCUCUCUUAAUUCCUGCUGUCCAGGCAGCAGAAUGCCAUGGUUUCCCCAAGUAGGUAGCUGCUUUAGCAGUUAAAGCCCAAAUGUCUGUUCUGUUGAUCAGAGGUCUCUGAAUUUCUGAAGUGGUGUUUCGUUUCUGGUGACUGAGUUAAUCCUUUACAAUCCCUCUUGUAAAGUGUGCUAAUAGAAAGAAUCCACCUUUCAAAGCUGCAGAACCAGACCGUGCCCUAAAUUGACCAACGUAACUGAUGUGCCUCAGGAAGUCUCUUGCCAGCUGUCCCUGUGAAGACCCCCCUCCUCCCCCCCAGCUGCUGCCUUGCACACUGAAGCAUCUCAGACUGUGCAAAGCCGUGUAGUCAUCAAGACAGUAAAUCCCAGGGCUUGGUUAAGUGCUGUGUGAUAACUUGUUUGGAUGAGACUUAACUUAAAACCACUUACAAUAAACUUGGGAAACUACCGUCAGCUGAGUUC